AGCCUGUAGUCUGUGAGUGGUAUUAACCUGUUGGCUUAAUGUCCAUAGUGGAAUAAGCUAGCUAGCUACAGGCUAGUGCUAGCCUACAUUUAAUCACCAUUUAAUCAGUGCAGGGAAACGUUUAGCAAGAUGUUCAUAUUAAAUCAUUGUCCCUGCCCCUUUUAGCAGCCUUAACAACAGAUGAGUCAGCAGCAGCCCAGUCUCCCCCUAACUGAGCCCCUCCCUGUCCCAGUGAAGAAGUGACGUCCCUGGAAUCGGCUAUCCAAAGCCCCGCUGAAGCAGAUAUUCUGUGCCGGCGCCAGGAGAAACACGGAGCUGACUCCAGGCUGGACUGGACUUGGUUGUCGUUUCACCCUGGGACAGAAUAUUGGACAAUCCAUGGUUCUAUUGUCUCCCCUGGUUUUUGAGGAGAUUGUGAUUUUAAUGUCAGUUUAAACUUAACUUUUAAAAUAUUAA
Molecule: long non-coding RNA, 456 nt
Organism: Perca fluviatilis (European perch)
Lineage: Eukaryota; Metazoa; Chordata; Actinopteri; Perciformes; Percidae
Exons: 2
Source: RefSeq, a predicted model, not a curated record